Egretta garzetta (little egret) is the source of this 260-nucleotide long non-coding RNA. RefSeq lists it as uncharacterized. The transcript is spliced from 3 exons. The record is from RefSeq and is a predicted model, not a curated record. Lineage: Eukaryota; Metazoa; Chordata; Aves; Pelecaniformes; Ardeidae.
GCAGCAUAAGAAAGAAGUGUUGAGAGCUGCUCUUAGCCCUUUUGGAGUCCGAAGUCAAAAGGGAACUAGAGGGCUUGACACAUCCUUUACAUCCUGCGUUUACUCUGACCACAGUCCCUCCCUGUUCUCACAAGCGGAGCUCAGCCCUGCUUCCCUUCCUGUUGAUUCCCAGUCAGCUACAUGACUGCCUGAAGUUACAUUGUAGAUGCUGAAAUCACUGCACCUUAAAAACAAAAAGAUUAAGCUGCACUGCAUUCCUG